GCUCUGUUAGGCCGAGUGGUUAUGGCGCAAGUAUGUCUUCAUGCUCCUUGUAGUAAAGAUAUUGUUACUAACCCCUUGAGAAGGUUUCAGGCAUAUCUGAAGCUCCAGCUGGUUUUAAGAAGUCCUUAUACUUGUGGACUUUGUCCGCGUGGGUUCGAGUCCCACCCUCAUCA
Molecule: non-coding RNA, 173 nt
Organism: Cladophialophora bantiana CBS 173.52
Lineage: Eukaryota; Fungi; Ascomycota; Eurotiomycetes; Chaetothyriales; Herpotrichiellaceae
Source: the annotation of a RefSeq genome assembly